UAAUACACUGAGCUAUAAUUCAACUACCUAACAAUCAUUAAUACACAAAGCUAAUUAUAACUGAACUGAACAUCUUACCAAAUAACCGACCGCCCUUAGAACAAGUGGCAAAGGGCUUGGCGGUUGGUACCUGAGACCCAAGUUUGAAUUCUAGUUGAUUCAUAUUUCUAGCUAAAUCUAGCUAAAUUUAUUUCUAAAUAAAAUAAACGAAGCGGAUAGUGCACUAUCUAUCUCUCAACGGAAAAAGAAAA
This 251-nucleotide long non-coding RNA is filed under the name Ananas comosus (pineapple). RNAcentral describes it as "long non-coding RNA (ACOM_LNC032159)". The record is from RNAcentral. Lineage: Eukaryota; Viridiplantae; Streptophyta; Magnoliopsida; Poales; Bromeliaceae.